UACGUAGGGAGCAAGCGUUGUCCGGAAUCAUUGGGCGUAAAGCGCGCGUAGGCGGCCCCGUAAGUCCGCUGUGAAAGUCAAAGGCUCAACCUUUGAAAGCCGGUGGAUACUGUGGGGCUAGAGUCCGGAAGAGGCGAGUGGAAUUCCUGGUGUAGCGGUGGAAUGCGCAGAUAUCAGGAGGAACACCAAUAGCGAAGGCAGCUCGCUGGACGGUACUGACGCUAAGGCGCGAAGCGUGGGAGCGAACGAGGA
This 252-nucleotide ribosomal RNA is filed under the name uncultured bacterium. RNAcentral's name for it is "partial 16S ribosomal RNA". It matches the Rfam family "Bacterial small subunit ribosomal RNA", at positions 524 to 777 of the family's 1533-position model. The record is from RNAcentral.